GACGAACGCUGGCGGCGUGCUUAACACAUGCAAGUCGAACGGAAAGGCCCUGCUUUUGUGGGGUGCUCGAGUGGCGAACGGGUGAGUAACACGUGAGUAACCUGCCCUUGACUUUGGGAUAACUUCAGGAAACUGGGGCUAAUACCGGAUAGGAGCUCCUGCUGCAUGGUGGGGGUUGGAAAGUUUCGGCGGUUGGGGAUGGACUCGCGGCUUAUCAGCUUGUUGGUGGGGUAGUGGCUUACCAAGGCUUUGACGGGUAGCCGGCCUGAGAGGGUGACCGGCCACAUUGGGACUGGGAUACGGCCCAGACUCCUACGGGAGGCAGCAGUGGGGAAUAUUGCACAAUGGGCGGAAGCCUGAUGCAGCAACGCCGCGUGCGGGAUGACGGCCUUCGGGUUGUAAACCGCUUUCGCCUCUGACGAAGCGUGAGUGACGGUAAUGGGUAAAGAAGCACCGGCUAACUACGUG
RNAcentral lists this ribosomal RNA (468 nucleotides) under uncultured bacterium. Its description in RNAcentral is "partial 16S ribosomal RNA". It matches the Rfam family "Bacterial small subunit ribosomal RNA", at positions 28 to 507 of the family's 1533-position model. The record is from RNAcentral.